CAUCUCCUCAAAAUGAGUGGCGGAGUCGCGGCGUGCUCUGAGCGUAGUAGAUGUCUUCUCGCUUUGGUAGCGCCCGCGGCAGCUAGCCGUUAACACACGAUAGGGCUUACCCCUAUCUCUUAGUGGUUGACCUCGGAUUAGGUAGGAAUACCCGCUGAACUUAAGCAUAUCAAUAAGCGGAGGAAAAGAAACCAACAGGGAUUGCCCUAGUAACGGCGAGUGAAGCGGCAACAGCUCAAAUUUGAAAUCUGGCCCUCGCGGUCCGAGUUGUAAUUUGUAGAGGAUGCUUUCGGCGCGGCGCCUUCCGAGUUCCCUGGAACGGGACGCCAGAGAGGGUGAGAGCCCCGUACGGUUGGACGCCUAGCCUACACAUAGCUCCUUCGACGAGUCGAGUAGUUUGGGAAUGCUGCUCUAAAUGGGAGGUAAAUUUCUUCUAAAGCUAAAUACCGGCCAGAGACCGAUAGCGCACAAGUAGAGUGAUCGAAAGAUGAAAAGCACUUUGAAAAGAGGGUUAAAUAGCACGUGAAAUUGUUGAAAGGGAAGCGUUUGCGACCAGACCUAUGCCCGGCGGAUCAUCCGGCGUUUUCGCCGGUGCACUUCGCCGGGUCUCUAGGCCAGCAUCGGUUCCCUUAGGGGGAGAAAGGCUCAGGGAACGUAGCUCCCCGUUUGGGGAGUGUUAUAGCCCUCUGCGUAAUACCCCUCGGGGGACCGAGGAACGCGCUGUAAUGGCAAGGAUGCUGGCGUAAUGGUCGUUAACGACCCGUCUUGAAACACGGACCAAGGAGUCGAACAUUUGUGCGAGUGUUUGGGUGUCAAACCCUCACGCGUAAUGAAAGUGAACGGAGGUGAGAGCCCCUCGCGGGGCGCAUCAUCGACCGAUCCUGAUGUCUUCGGAUGGAUUUGAGUAAGAGCAUAACUGUUCGGACCCGAAAGAUGGUGAACUAUGCGUGGAUAGGGUGAAGCCAGAGGAAACUCUGGUGGAGGCUCGCAGCGGUUCUGACGUGCAAAUCGAUCGUCAAAUCUGCGCAUGGGGGCGAAAGACUUAUCGAACCAUCUAGUAGCUGGUUACCGCCGAAGUUUCCCUCAGGAUAGCAGUGUUGUUCUUCAGUUUUAUGAGGUAAAGCGAAUGAUUAGGGACUCGGGGGCGCUAUUUUGCCUUCAUCCAUUCUCAAACUUUAAAUAUGUAAGAAGCCCUUGUUGCUUAGUUGAACGUGGGCAUUCGAAUGUACCAACACUAGUGGGCCAUUUUUGGUAAGCAGAACUGGCGAUGCGGGAUGAACCGAACGCGGGGUUAAGGUGCCAGAGUGGACGCUCAUCAGACACCACAAAAGGUGUUAGUACAUCUUGACAGCAGGACGGUGGCCAUGGAAGUCGGAAUCCGCUAAGGACUGUGUAACAACUCACCUGCCGAAUGUACUAGCCCUGAAAAUGGAUGGCGCUCAAGCGUCUCACCCAUACCUCGCCCUUAGGGUAGAACAGAGGCCCUAAGGAGUAGGCGGCCGUGGGGAUCAGUGACGA
RNAcentral lists this ribosomal RNA (1518 nucleotides) under Hypoxylon lienhwacheense. RNAcentral's name for it is "partial large subunit ribosomal RNA". It matches the Rfam family "Eukaryotic large subunit ribosomal RNA", at positions 1 to 1406 of the family's 3401-position model. The record is from RNAcentral. Lineage: Eukaryota; Fungi; Ascomycota; Sordariomycetes; Xylariales; Hypoxylaceae.